Molecule: ribosomal RNA, 467 nt
Filed under: uncultured bacterium
Lineage: Bacteria
Description: partial 16S ribosomal RNA
Rfam family: Bacterial small subunit ribosomal RNA
Source: RNAcentral
GACGAACGCUGGCGGCGUGCUUAACACAUGCAAGUCGAACGGAAGGCCCUGCUUUUGUGGGGUGCCCGAGUGGCGAACGGGGGGGGAAAAACUGAGUAACCUGCCCCUGACUUUGGGGUAACAUCCGGAAACUGGGGCUAAUACCGGAGAGGAGGUCCCGCUGGAUGGUGGGGGUUGGAAAGUUUCGGCGGUUGGGGAUGGACUCGCGGCUUAUCAGCUUGUUGGUGGGGUAGUGGCUUACCAAGGCUUUGACGGGUAGCCGGCCUGAGAGGGUGACCGGCCACAUUGGGACUGAGAUACGGCCCAGACUCCUACGGGAGGCAGCAGUGGGGAAUAUUGCACAAUGGGCGGAAGCCUGAUGCAGCAACGCCGCGUGCGGGAUGACGGCCUUCGGGUUGUAAACCGCUUUCGCCUGUGACGAAGCGUGAGUGACGGUAAUGGGUAAAGAAGCACCGGCUAACUACGUG